AGGUAGUUUUGAUAAUUUAUGAUAUUAACAUCUUCUUAAAAACCUAAUUUCAUGAAUAAAUUAGAUUUUCUUGUAAAAAUAAAAAUUUUAAAAAAAUAAAAUUAGAGCAUAUUUAUGAAAAAUAGAUAUUAAUUUAAUUGAUCAAUUUAAGUACCAAAAUAAUAAAAAAAUUUUGAAAAAUUUAAUACAUAUAUUUUUUAUUUUUUAGGCAAAAAUUGGAGCAAAAAUCAAGCCAAAAUAUCUUAAAAAAUAUUGAAAAUUACCUUCGAUGCACAGUAGACUGGCCGUUCGGUCC
This 295-nucleotide long non-coding RNA is filed under the name Elaeis guineensis (African oil palm). RNAcentral's name for it is "long non-coding RNA (EGUI_LNC006171)". The record is from RNAcentral. Lineage: Eukaryota; Viridiplantae; Streptophyta; Magnoliopsida; Arecales; Arecaceae.